AGCGAACGCUGGCGGCAGGCUUAACACAUGCAAGUCGAGCGGGCAUCUUCGGGUGUCAGCGGCGGACGGGUGAGUAACGCGUGGGAACGUGCCUUCUGGUUCGGAAUAACUCAGGGAAACUUGAGCUAAUACCGGAUACGCCCUUUUGGGGAAAGGUUUACUGCCGGAAGGUCGGCCCGCGUCUGAUUAGCUAGUUGGUGGGGUAACGGCCUACCAAGGCGACGAUCAGUAGCUGGUCUGAGAGGAUGAUCAGCCACACUGGGACUGAGACACGGUCCAGACUCCUACGGGAGGCAGCAGUGGGGAAUAUUGGACAAUGGGGGCAACCCUGAUCCAGCCAUGCCGCGUGAGUGAUGAAGGCCUAGGGUUGUAAAGCUCUUUUAUCCGGGACGAUAAUGACGGUACCGGAGGAAUAAGCCCCGGCUAACUUCGUGCCAGCCGCCGCCGUAA
RNAcentral lists this ribosomal RNA (450 nucleotides) under uncultured bacterium. RNAcentral describes it as "partial 16S ribosomal RNA". It matches the Rfam family "Bacterial small subunit ribosomal RNA", at positions 29 to 523 of the family's 1533-position model. The record is from RNAcentral.